RNAcentral lists this small RNA (83 nucleotides) under Mesonia algae. RNAcentral describes it as "Flavo-1 RNA". It matches the Rfam family "Flavo-1 RNA". Lineage: Bacteria; Pseudomonadati; Bacteroidota; Flavobacteriia; Flavobacteriales; Flavobacteriaceae. The record is from Rfam by way of RNAcentral.
GAUUUGCGUUAAGGAUGAAAACGGCAUCCUUUUUCUUGUUUUUUUUAAACAAGAAAAAGAUAUAGUGGACAGCCUGACCUGAA